AGCACUUGCACACAAGACACACACAGGUGUCUGGUUUUGUGGUGCAUGAACGACUUUUCUAAGUGAGAGACACAGCAGCCUGAGCAGACUCAGGUGAGUGACCUCUGGGCAGAUGCCGAGGAGGGUCAUCCCCGAGCACUCACCGGGUGCAUGUUCUGCAUUGACGGCGUGGACCAUCCUCCCCUUUGUCCUCACAGAGACUGUGGUGAUGGGUGCUGUCCCCAAAUGUAGCCAUUCCACAGGAAAACAAAGUCCCCUCCUGUAUUGACAGCUGGGAAUUGUGGUGUCCACCGUCCUCGACCUGCGACAGGGUCUCCACAAGCACAGAGGCUGCUCUGGAGUCAAUAGAUCAUCUUUUCCCCAAACCAAACUGCUUGGCUGGUGUUGUUCCUGAAGCGGCUUCACUGGCCAGAGUGAGUGAGAAUUGGGGUAGAACGGAGCAGUCACCAGAUGUCUUGCUUCCUACAGAAAACUGAGUAUCUUCCUGGUCCCUGAACGAUCCUAUUAGAGACAUCCAGUCCCUGACUCCACCUGCCUCCAGGUGCCCAGAACAGCCCAUCGUGGGGACUUCACCCUC
RNAcentral lists this small RNA (577 nucleotides) under Pongo abelii (Sumatran orangutan). RNAcentral describes it as "processed transcript". The record is from RNAcentral. Lineage: Eukaryota; Metazoa; Chordata; Mammalia; Primates; Hominidae.